RNAcentral lists this transfer RNA (73 nucleotides) under Stegodyphus mimosarum. It matches the Rfam family "tRNA". Rfam says of the family: Transfer RNA (tRNA) molecules are approximately 80 nucleotides in length. Lineage: Eukaryota; Metazoa; Arthropoda; Arachnida; Araneae; Eresidae. The record is from Rfam by way of RNAcentral.
GCCUUUAUGGUGUAGCGGUCAGCACGCUGGGCUUGUAUACCAGAGGUCUGUGUUUCGAAUCCCGGCGAGGGCA